RNAcentral lists this ribosomal RNA (206 nucleotides) under uncultured bacterium. RNAcentral's name for it is "partial 16S ribosomal RNA". It matches the Rfam family "Bacterial small subunit ribosomal RNA", at positions 123 to 334 of the family's 1533-position model. The record is from RNAcentral.
AAUCUGCCUUGAAGUGGGGAAUAACUGCUCGAAAGAGUAGCUAAUACCGCAUGUGGUUAUGUAACAAUAACUAAGCUUCGCAAGAGGUGCUUUGAGAGGAGCCUGCGACUGAUUAGCUAGUUGGUGGGGUAUAGGCUCACCAAGGCCGUGAUCAGUAGCUGGUCUGAGAGGAUGGUCAGCCACACUGGGACUGCGACACGGCCCAG